This 256-nucleotide ribosomal RNA is filed under the name uncultured bacterium. Its description in RNAcentral is "partial 16S ribosomal RNA". It matches the Rfam family "Bacterial small subunit ribosomal RNA", at positions 524 to 777 of the family's 1533-position model. The record is from RNAcentral.
UACGGAGGAUCCAAGCGUUAUCCGGAUUUAUUGGGUUUAAAGGGUGCGUAGGCGGCCUAUUAAGUCAGGGGUGAAAGACGGUAGCUUAAACUAUCGCAGUGCCUUUGAUACUGAUGGGCUUGAAUGUACUUGAGGUAGGCGGAAUGUGACAAGUAGCGGUGAAAUGCAUAGAUAUGUCACAGAACACCAAUUGCGAAGGCAGCUUACUAAAGUAUGAUUGACGCUGAGGCACGAAAGCGUGGGGAGUCAAACAGGA